RNAcentral lists this long non-coding RNA (1158 nucleotides) under Apteryx owenii (little spotted kiwi). RNAcentral describes it as "lncRNA (ENSAOWG00000016309.1)". Lineage: Eukaryota; Metazoa; Chordata; Aves; Apterygiformes; Apterygidae. The record is from RNAcentral.
CCCCCCCCCCCCUUCCCGGCCGCAGGGGGAGGGGAAGGAGGGAGGGAGAGAGAGAGGAGGGGAGGGAAAAAAGAAACUGUCACCGUGGGAUUUCAUCAGCUGCUCCUGCCUCCGUGCAUUUAACCUAUUUUCCUUCUCUUCGAUUAUGUAAGAGGGACGGUGUAGGAAGGAGCGGCGAGUAAAGAUGACUGAUGUGCCUCCUUUGCGAUUGUCGGUUGUUUGUGUCCAGCUGGCCUGCCAGGGUGCUGAAAAUGCAAAGUGUUGGAAAUAUUUAUUUAAGUCGGGGUUUAGGGGAGAAAAAUGUGCUUGUGGUGAGUGAAAUGAAUUUUUCCUGAUAGGAGUUGCAUAGAAAUUCAAAUGUUAUUAAAUAGUUCAUUUUGAUUUCUAUAGCUGUAAAAACUGGCCUAAUAUGAAAUAUUUUGAUUUCUGUUAGAAGUAUUUUCAAACAGCAACAAUAUAAAACUUGUAAGUGUGAUUUGUUUUGCUGUUCAUUUUCUAAAAUAUGUGGGGAAAUCCUAGUUUCACUCUUGGGUGAAAAAUAGGAAAUUAGAGCUAAUUACAGGGGAGUACAAACACUAGUUUGACAACCAAGUGUUUAGAGCGACACACAGUAGACAGGUGAUGCUAUGGGAAUAGGAGUUAGAUAGGGCUAGAAAGUAAGAGGUCUACUAGUGGCACUUGCUGUUUAGUUUAAUUCUGAGUAGCAAGGAGAAGUCUGCAGAAUGGUGUUUCAUAGCAGAACUCUGGCUAGUACGUAAGCAGCAUAUGCCUUUACCAUCCAUCUGCUAAACUGCUGGGGAGAUGAAUGUUUCCCAGCGCGGUUGUUCCUGGAUCUUCUGCACUGCAACACCAUCUGGCUGGUAAACUUCUAAAACUCAAUUUUUAAUUCACCUAUGCCCACAGAUGACCCUAUGAAUUGCUUGGCUUGUAUCAUAAGUGAAGCUUGGCCUGGUCUGAUAAAGGGAGACUAUUAUUAGUGAGACGAUCUUUCUAGGCUGAAGCGAUAGAAUGACGUUUCUGGAAAACAGUCUGGCUUUUUUGGCAGAAGCAAGUCCAGUACUUCAGGUUGAGAAACAGCAUGUAUCAAGAUGAAAACUAAAUAUGAAAGACAGACAGUACAACAUCUAUUCAGGGGAAUAAAAAUAGUUUUAUCUGACA